This 68-nucleotide transfer RNA is filed under the name Kannabateomys amblyonyx (Atlantic bamboo rat). Its description in RNAcentral is "tRNA-Val". It matches the Rfam family "tRNA". From Rfam's summary of the family: Transfer RNA (tRNA) molecules are approximately 80 nucleotides in length. Their secondary structure includes four short double-helical elements and three loops (D, anti-codon, and T loops). Lineage: Eukaryota; Metazoa; Chordata; Mammalia; Rodentia; Echimyidae. The record is from RNAcentral.
CAAAGCAUAGCUUAACCCAAAGCAUCCGGCUUACACCCGGAAGAUUUCAUAUACAUUGACUGCUUUGA